GAUGAACGCUGGCGGCGUGCCUAAUACAUGCAAGUCGAACGAGGUGCUUGAGUAGCAAUACGAGAGUAUCCUAGUGGCGAACGGGUGAGUAACGCGUUGGUGACCUACCCCAAAGUGUGGGAUAACAGUCCGAAAGGAUUGCUAAUACCGCAUGUGGUCUUCGGGUUUAGAAACCGAUGACGAAAGCAGCAAUGCGCUUUGGGGAGGGACCUGCGUCCCAUCAGCUAGUUGGUGAGGUAACGGCUCACCAAGGCGACGACGGGUAGGGGACCUGAGAGGGUGACCCCCACCAA
This 293-nucleotide ribosomal RNA is filed under the name uncultured bacterium. Its description in RNAcentral is "partial 16S ribosomal RNA". It matches the Rfam family "Bacterial small subunit ribosomal RNA", at positions 28 to 314 of the family's 1533-position model. The record is from RNAcentral.